Molecule: ribosomal RNA, 476 nt
Filed under: Pseudomonas sp. oral taxon C61
Lineage: Bacteria; Pseudomonadati; Pseudomonadota; Gammaproteobacteria; Pseudomonadales; Pseudomonadaceae
Description: bacterial SSU rRNA
Rfam family: Bacterial small subunit ribosomal RNA
Source: RNAcentral
AUUGGACGCUGCGGCAGGCCUAACACAUGCAAGUCGAGCGGUAGAGAGAAGCUUGCUUCUCUUGAGAGCGGCGGACGGGUGAGUAAUGCCUAGGAAUCUGCCUGGUAGUGGGGGAUAACGUUCGGAAACGGACGCUAAUACCGCAUACGUCCUACGGGAGAAAGCAGGGGACCUUCGGGCCUUGCGCUAUCAGAUGAGCCUAGGUCGGAUUAGCUAGUUGGUGGGGUAAUGGCUCACCAAGGCGACGAUCCGUAACUGGUCUGAGAGGAUGAUCAGUCACACUGGAACUGAGACACGGUCCAGACUCCUACGGGAGGCAGCAGUGGGGAAUAUUGGACAAUGGGCGAAAGCCUGAUCCAGCCAUGCCGCGUGUGUGAAGAAGGUCUUCGGAUUGUAAAGCACUUUAAGUUGGGAGGAAGGGUUGUAGAUUAAUACUCUGCAAUUUUGACGUUACCGACAGAAUAAGCACCGGCUAA